AUGUUUAACAUGCUUUUUACAUUUGUAUAACAAACAUUUUUGAGAAAAUCGUGAAUAAAUUGGCAAUUUUAGGCCCUUUUUAGACCUGUACAUGGAUCAUGUAAGACUCUAUGUUUUGUGAACCGUAAAUGAUACAGACAUCUUGGCGCCAUUAUGGUAACACUUCAUUUGGAUAGUCCAUCUGUAGAUGCUCUAUAAACUAUCAGUAACAUGUCAACUGCAUGUCUGGCAACGGUACCGGACAGCAGGCAGGCUGAGGAUCAGGGUAGGCAGAGGUCAAUAAUCCAGAGGUGGGGCAAAGGUACAGGUCGGCAGGCAGGCUCAGGGUCAGGGUAGGCAGAGGUCAAUAAUCCAGAGGUGGGGCAAAGGUACAGGUCGGCAGGCAGGCUGAGGAUCAGGGUAGGCAGAGGUCAAUAAUCCAGAGGUGGGGCAAAGGUACAGGUCGGCAGGCAGGCUGAGGAUCAGGGUAGGCAGAGGUCAAUAAUCCAGAGGUGGGGCAAAGGUACAGGUCGGCAGGCAGGCUGAGGAUCAGGGUAGGCAGAGGUCAAUAAUCCAGAGGUGGGGCAAAGGUACAGGUCGGCAGGCAGGCUGAGGAUCAGGGUAGGCAGAGGUCAAUAAUCCAGAGGUGGGGCAAAGGUACAGGUCGGCAGGCAGGCUGAGGAUCAGGGUAGGCAGAGGUCAAUAAUCCAGAGGUGGGGCAAAGGUACAGGUCGGCAGGCAGGCUCAGGGUCAGGGUAGGCAGAGGUCAAUAAUCCAGAGGUGGGGCAAAGGUACAGGUCGGCAGGCAGGCUCAGGGUCAGGGUAGGCAGAGGUCAAUAAUCCAGAGGUGGGGCAAAGGUACAGGUCGGCAGGCAGGCUGAGGAUCAGGGUAGGCAGAGGUCAAUAAUCCAGAGGUGGGGCAAAGGUACAGGUCGGCAGGCAGGCUGAGGAUCAGGGUAGGCAGAGGUCAAUAAUCCAGAGGUGGGGCAAAGGUACAGGUCGGCAGGCAGGCUCAGGGUCAGGGUAGGCAGAGGUCAAUAAUCCAGAGGUGGGGCAAAGGUACAGGUCGGCAGGCAGGCUCAGGGUCAGGGUAGGCAGAGGUCAAUAAUCCAGAGGUGGGGCAAAGGUACAGGUCGGCAGGCAGGCUCAGGGUCAGGGUAGGCAGAGGUCAAUAAUCCAGAGGUGGGGCAAAGGUACAGGUCGGCAGGCAGGCUCAGGGUCAGGGUAGGCAGAGGUCAAUAAUCCAGAGGUGGGGCAAAGGUACAGGUCGGCAGGCAGGCUCAGGGUCAGGGGCAGGCAGAGUGGUCAGGCAGGCGUGCUCAGAGUCAGGGCAGGCAAGGGUCAAAACCAGGAGGGCGAGAAAAAGAGAGACUGUGAAAAGCAGGAGCUGAGACACAAAAAUGCUGGUUGACUUGACAAACAAGACGAACUGGCAACAGGCAAACAAGAGAAAACAGGUAUAAAUACACAGGGGAUAAUUGCGGAAGAUGGGCGACACCUGGAGGAGGGUGGAGACAAUCACAAAGACAGGUGAAACAGAUCAGGGUGUGACGAUAUCUGUAGCCUUUCAGUAAUAUUUCAACAGUAUAUCUGUAGCCUUUCAGUAAUAUUUCAACAGUAUAUCUGUAGCCUUUCAGUAAUAUUUCAACAGUAUAUCUGUAGCCUUUCAGUAAUAUUUCAACAGUAUAUCUGUAGCCUUUCAGUAAUAUUUCAACAGUAUAUCUGUAGCCUUUCAGUAAUAUUUCAA
This is a long non-coding RNA of Oncorhynchus keta (chum salmon), 1726 nucleotides long. RefSeq lists it as uncharacterized. The record is from RefSeq and is a predicted model, not a curated record. NCBI's taxonomy places the organism in Eukaryota, Metazoa, Chordata, Actinopteri, Salmoniformes, Salmonidae. The transcript has 3 exons.